This 440-nucleotide ribosomal RNA is filed under the name uncultured bacterium. Its description in RNAcentral is "partial 16S ribosomal RNA". It matches the Rfam family "Bacterial small subunit ribosomal RNA", at positions 338 to 795 of the family's 1533-position model. The record is from RNAcentral.
CCUACGGUGGGCAGCAGUGGGGAAUAUUGCACAAUGGGGGAAACCCUGAUGCAGCGACGCCGCGUGGGUGAGGAAGUAUUUCGGUUUGUAAACCUCUAUCAGUAGGGAAGAAAAUGACGGUACCUGACUAAGAAGCCCCGGCUAACUACGUGCCAGCAGCCGCGGUAAUACGUAGGGGGCAAGCGUUAUCCGGACUUACUGGGUGUAAAGGGAGCGUAGACGGGUAAGCAAGUCAGACGUGAAAUCCCAGGGCUUAACCUUGGAACUGCUUUUGAAACUGUGUAGCUAGAGUGAAGGAGAGGUAGGCGGAAUUCCUGGUGUAGCGGUGAAAUGCGUAGAUAUUAGGAGGAACACCAGUGGCGAAGGCGGCUUGCUGGACUGUAACUGACGCUGAGGCUCGAAAGCGUGGGGAGCAAACAGGAUUAGAUACCCUAGUAGUC